CCGUGACAUCUCAUCUUGUCAAAGGCUAGCAGUGCCAACUUAAGUUGUUUUGCUUAUGGAGAGUCAUUCUGUCAGCAUGAAAGUAUCUGCAGAGAGAAAGACAAAAAGGCUGACUUUGUGGAUGCAUGACCAGGCAACGUUGCUAGGUUAGACUGUGCAACACUCUGUGGGUGAAGGGGCAGUGAAAUUCUGUGCCUUGACCAAAUAUAGACGGCCUUUAUUUUUCUGCUGAGACCUAUGGUGCUAAGGCUGAGAUGGAAAUGUUGCAACCGUGGAAUACGAACGGGUAUCCUCAAGCUCAAGUAAAAAAAAAGUAAAGAAUAGAAGGUAUUAUUCCUCGGUUGCCUGCUUUUUCCAAAGCAGGUAUCCUAUCGCUACCAGCCACGCUUGGGUUUCCGUCCAGUAAUUGUAGCUCUUCUCCCCUCUUGUCUGCCAUACAAAGCUGCCAGCAUCUUUGCCACUGCCACCAUAAUUAAAACAUAGCCAUUCCCAUUUCUGAUCCCAUUUGUCCUGUGCAUCUUCAUGGCAUUGAACCAUUUGCUGACUCUCAGCCAAGUGAAAGCUUUGAAAGGUGGCAAGCCAGUUGGCAGUGACGAGUUAAGUAUUUCCACCCUAGCGGCUCUCUGAAUGUGGCAGUGACUCAAGCUACACUCUGCAGCAUUUGGGCUGUUGGCAGCUGUUAAACGCAACAUAUAUUUCUUGCACUUUCAAUGAAAUGAAAUGCAUCCAAAAAUGGAAUCUUUGCAUGCAGCUCAUGAUAUAGUGAUAGAAGGAUGCUUAAAAAAAAAAAUGCAAGGCAAUGCUAUGGCAAACGCGGUCAAAUGCCAAAGGCAAGCUUCAGCACAGGCAACUGUAUCACAUAGGUUACACAUGGAAAUUAUGACAUGUGGCCAAAAGUUGAGUUAUGACGACCAGGAAACAUGCUACAAUGACAGAUGAAUGGCAGUGCUCAACGUGUACUGGCACCAGCUGGUAUUCAUUACACAAGCAUAAAAGCAUGUGCGAGCACUGAGCCUAUAAUUGGUUAUUUUCUUAUUCGUGUAAACAGCUAAUUGAAAUCUGACCUGCUGCAAAGGCUCAGUGACUAUGGAGCUCUGCUUCUGAGCUAGCAGCACCCACAAUAUGAUGCAAGCAGAAUGGAAAAAUUUUAGUGUAUUUGACCUUGGCGCACAUUUGAGAACUCCAGGUGGUCAAAUUAAUUCGUAGGCUUCCAGUCUGGCACCGUCUUGUAGCCUAAAUAUUGCUUUGGGACAUCAAAUUAUAGCAGUCAAUCAUUUGGAGGCCAUGUUGCAAAGACUUGAUUGUGGCAUUUGACUUGCACUUGGCAUCAAAGGCAGAGUUCUACACCUGAUGCUUAAGCCAAGUGAAUAUCGGCAGAAACAUUUGGAGCACAAACUAAGCGACAACUGGAAGUGCCUGGAUGAAAAAUAGUGUUUGUCUAUUUCAAACAACUAUGACAAACUAUGAGAUUUCCUAAUAUUUUUGCCGAGACAUAUUUUGAAGAUUACAGAGGCCCAGUGUGUCAGAACUGCUCACAAGAGUUGCAGUUUAAGACAGAGCUUGCAUGCAUGCUUGCUUCCUUCUGCUUCCGGCUAGACAAUCGAGCUCCCGCGCAGUAAAGGAUGCUUGGGAACCAGCAGCGCCCCUGGCAGGACACCCUGUAUUCUCCUUUCCCCCUCCCCCACCCCUUCGUCCCUGGUGUGAAAGUGGCUCGUGGCUUUUGUAGCUUUCGCCAGCUGGGGCAGCAGCCACACUGCCUCACAUUCCCUGUGUCAGGGGGAGGUUGUCUCUUGGGACAAGCUGGGCUCUUGUGAUGUGUUUCCCACGCGGAGGGAGGUCAGUCUUCCCUCCACCCACCUUCAUUCUUGGGAUGCUGUCGAUGUGCUGUUAAGAUUCCUAUGUCCCUAUAGUUGUCUUGUGUCCUUGAGUGUUGAGGAGCUGUCUUUUGGUUCAUGUUGGCCUCUUGAGUGAUGCUGUGAUUUCCUUGUUUGUUGUUUGUUUUACCUUUUCCUCCCCGGAUUGCAUGUGUUUCUCCUGACUAUUCUCUCGUAUGUAGUUUUCCCAGUUGUGUUUACUGGGACGUACUGCCUGUUCCUCAUCCGUCAGCUUCUAUGCGCCCUCUGGCACCUAUCGAGUAGCGUGCGUCUGUUGACCCCUAAUUUAUUUCGCGCGGCUUACUUUUUUUCUCGCUCUCUCUCUCUCUUGCCUCGAGACUGCCUUCCACCACCUCCCCUGCAUACGCGAGUGUGUGAUUUCACGCCCCACCCACGAACCCUGUCUCAGCAAAAGCCUCCCCGAAGAAUUGCCGUCUGGGGCAUAGAAGGAGCUUUCAGCAGUUGAAGGCAUGCAGUGAGAAUGCUGUCUAUGGGAAAUUAAUCCAGCUGUCGGCUGGAUGCAACUGAUCACCGUGUCUAUUCUUGGAAAAAUUAUUUUGUGAGGCCGCCAACCUUGGUAGCACGAGGGGUCAAAAAACGCAGAAGCAACUGUCAGUUAUUUUUCAUAGACAUGCUGGAGUGAACACACAGACGCUAUAAUCGGGGCGUAACUAACAAUGCUUGUAUAUAGUCAACACUGUUUAUACUUAUGGAGGAGAGAGAGGGCUGAAUAAGUUAUGUUUGUUAUGGACUUUGUGCAAAUUUUUUUGUUUCUGGAGCUCCUUUCUUGCUGCGGAGCCAAUGCGCACAAGGGGACACAAGUGGGUUGUUGUGCGCUCAGGUCUGCUACUGUUUUUUGUUGUACAGAUUGUAUCUUUUUUGCAAUGUUCUAUAUUUUUAAAAAUUAAAAAUCCUUGGCUCGAUUUAUCAUUACCAAAA
This 2813-nucleotide long non-coding RNA is filed under the name Dermacentor andersoni. RNAcentral's name for it is "uncharacterized LOC126542289". Lineage: Eukaryota; Metazoa; Arthropoda; Arachnida; Ixodida; Ixodidae. The record is from RNAcentral.